This 2924-nucleotide ribosomal RNA is filed under the name Bacillus mycoides. Its description in RNAcentral is "23S ribosomal RNA". It matches the Rfam family "Bacterial large subunit ribosomal RNA". Lineage: Bacteria; Bacillati; Bacillota; Bacilli; Caryophanales; Bacillaceae. The record is from RNAcentral.
UUUGGUUAAGUUAGAAAGGGCGCACGGUGGAUGCCUUGACACUAGGAGUCGAUGAAGGACGGGACUAACGCCGAUAUGCUUCGGGGAGCUGUAAGUAAGCUUUGAUCCGAAGAUUUCCGAAUGGGGAAACCCACUAUACGUAAUGGUAUGGUAUCCUUACCUGAAUACAUAGGGUAUGGAAGACAGACCCAGGGAACUGAAACAUCUAAGUACCUGGAGGAAGAGAAAGCAAAUGCGAUUUCCUGAGUAGCGGCGAGCGAAACGGAAUCUAGCCCAAACCAAGAGGCUUGCCUCUUGGGGUUGUAGGACAUUCUAUACGGAGUUACAAAGGAACGAGGUAGACGAAGCGACCUGGAAAGGUCCGUCACAGAGGGUAACAACCCCGUAGUCGAAACUUCGUUCUCUCUUGAAUGUAUCCUGAGUACGGCGGAACACGUGAAAUUCCGUCGGAAUCUGGGAGGACCAUCUCCCAAGGCUAAAUACUCCCUAGUGAUCGAUAGUGAACCAGUACCGUGAGGGAAAGGUGAAAAGCACCCCGGAAGGGGAGUGAAAGAGAUCCUGAAACCGUGUGCCUACAAAUAGUCAGAGCCCGUUAAUGGGUGAUGGCGUGCCUUUUGUAGAAUGAACCGGCGAGUUACGAUCCCGUGCAAGGUUAAGCUGAAGAGGCGGAGCCGCAGCGAAAGCGAGUCUGAAUAGGGCGUUUAGUACGUGGUCGUAGACCCGAAACCAGGUGAUCUACCCAUGUCCAGGGUGAAGUUCAGGUAACACUGAAUGGAGGCCCGAACCCACGCACGUUGAAAAGUGCGGGGAUGAGGUGUGGGUAGCGGAGAAAUUCCAAUCGAACCUGGAGAUAGCUGGUUCUCCCCGAAAUAGCUUUAGGGCUAGCCUUAAGUGUAAGAGUCUUGGAGGUAGAGCACUGAUUGAACUAGGGUCCUCAUCGGAUUACCGAAUUCAGUCAAACUCCGAAUGCCAAUGACUUAUCCUUAGAGUCAGACUGCGAGUGAUAAAGAUCCGUAGUCAAGAGGGAAACAGCCCAGAUCGCCAGCUAAGGUCCCAAAGUGUGUAUUAAGUGGAAAAGGAUGUGGAGUUGCUUAGACAACUAGGAUGUUGGCUCAGAAGCAGCCACCAUUUAAAGAGUGCGUAAUAGCUCACUAGUCGAGUGACUCUGCGCCGAAAAUGUACCGGGGCUAAAUACACCACCGAAGCUGCGAAUUGAUACCAAUGGUAUCAGUGGUAGGUUGCUCUAAGUGCAGCAGUUUGCACCGGCGACUGGUGGAGUGCUUAGAAGCGGAGAAUGCUGGUAUGAUGAGUAGCAGACGGGUGAGAAUCCCGUCCACCGAAUGCCUAAGGUUUCCUGAGGAAGGCUCGUCCGCUCAGGGUUAGUCAGGACCUAAGCCGAGGCCGACAGGCGUAGGCGAUGGACAACAGGUUGAUAUUCCUGUACCACCUCUUUAUCGUUUGAGCAAUGGAGGGGACGCAGAAGGAUAGAAGAAGCGUGCGAUUGGUUGUGCACGUCCAAGCAGUUAGGCUGAUAAGUAGGCAAAUCCGCUUAUCGUGAAGGCUGAGCUGUGAUGGGGAAGCUCCUUAUGGAGCGAAGUCUUUGAUUCCCCGCUGCCAAGAAAAGCUUCUAGCGAGAUAAAAGGUGCCUGUACCGCAAACCGACACAGGUAGGCGAGGAGAGAAUCCUAAGGUGUGCGAGAGAACUCUGGUUAAGGAACUCGGCAAAAUGACCCCGUAACUUCGGGAGAAGGGGUGCUUUCUUAACGGAAAGCCGCAGUGAAUAGGCCCAAGCGACUGUUUAGCAAAAAAACACAGGUCUCUGCGAAGCCGUAAGGCGAAGUAUAGGGCUGACACCUGCCCGGUGCUGGAAGGUUAAGGAGAGGGGUUAGCGUAAGCGAAGCUCUGAACUGAAGCCCCAGUAAACGGCGGCCGUAACUAUAACGGUCCUAAGGUAGCGAAAUUCCUUGUCGGGUAAGUUCCGACCCGCACGAAAGGUGUAACGAUUUGGGCACUGUCUCAACCAGAGACUCGGUGAAAUUAUAGUACCUGUGAAGAUGCAGGUUACCCGCGACAGGACGGAAAGACCCCGUGGAGCUUUACUGUAGCCUGAUAUUGAAUUUUGGUACAGUUUGUACAGGAUAGGCGGGAGCCAUUGAAACCGGAGCGCUAGCUUCGGUGGAGGCGCUGGUGGGAUACCGCCCUGACUGUAUUGAAAUUCUAACCUACGGGUCUUAUCGACCCGGGAGACAGUGUCAGGUGGGCAGUUUGACUGGGGCGGUCGCCUCCUAAAGUGUAACGGAGGCGCCCAAAGGUUCCCUCAGAAUGGUUGGAAAUCAUUCGUAGAGUGCAAAGGCAUAAGGGAGCUUGACUGCGAGACCUACAAGUCGAGCAGGGACGAAAGUCGGGCUUAGUGAUCCGGUGGUUCCGCAUGGAAGGGCCAUCGCUCAACGGAUAAAAGCUACCCCGGGGAUAACAGGCUUAUCUCCCCAAGAGUCCACAUCGACGGGGAGGUUUGGCACCUCGAUGUCGGCUCAUCGCAUCCUGGGGCUGUAGUCGGUCCCAAGGGUUGGGCUGUUCGCCCAUUAAAGCGGUACGCGAGCUGGGUUCAGAACGUCGUGAGACAGUUCGGUCCCUAUCCGUCGUGGGCGCAGGAAAUUUGAGAGGAGCUGUCCUUAGUACGAGAGGACCGGGAUGGACGCACCGCUGGUGUACCAGUUGUUCUGCCAAGGGCAUAGCUGGGUAGCUAUGUGCGGAAGGGAUAAGUGCUGAAAGCAUCUAAGCAUGAAGCCCCCCUCAAGAUGAGAUUUCCCAUAGCGUAAGCUAGUAAGAUCCCUGAAAGAUGAUCAGGUUGAUAGGUUCGAGGUGGAAGCAUGGUGACAUGUGGAGCUGACGAAUACUAAUAGAUCGAGGACUUAACCAUAUAA